RNAcentral lists this ribosomal RNA (494 nucleotides) under uncultured bacterium. RNAcentral describes it as "partial 16S ribosomal RNA". It matches the Rfam family "Bacterial small subunit ribosomal RNA", at positions 28 to 523 of the family's 1533-position model. The record is from RNAcentral.
GAUGAACGCUAGCGGCAGGCUUAACACAUGCAAGUCGAGGGGUAUUGGUUUUCGGACCAAGAGACCGGCGCACGGGUGCGUAACGCGUAUGCAAUCUACCUUUUGCAGAGGGAUAGCCCAGAGAAAUUUGGAUUAAUACCUCAUAGUAUAGUAGUUUCGCAUGAAACGACUAUUAAAGUUCCAACGGCAAAAGAUGAGCAUGCGUCCCAUUAGCUAGUUGGUAAGGUAACGGGUUACCAAGGCAACGAGGGGUAGGGGUCCUGAGAGGGAGACUCCCCACACUGGUACUGAGACACGGACCAGACUGCUACGGGGGGCAACAGUGGGGAAUAUUGGACAAGGGGCGCAAGGCUGAUCCAGCGAUGCCGCGUGCAGGAGGGCGGUCAUAUGGAUGGUAAACUGCUUUUGUACAGGAAGAAACACUCCCACGUGAGGGAGAUUGACGGUACUGUAAGAAUAAGGAUCGGCUAAAUCCGUGCCAGCAGCCGCCGCAG